CCUACGGGAGGCAGCAGUGGGGAAUCUUGCGCAAUGGGCGAAAGCCUGACGCAGCAACGCCGCGUGCGGGAAGAAGGCUCUCGGGUUGUAAACCGCUUUCAGCAGGAACGAAAAUGACGGUACUUGCAGAAGAAGGUGCGGCCAACUACGUGCCAGCAGCCGCGGUGACACGUAGGCACCAAGCGUUGUCCGGAUUUAUUGGGCGUAAAGAGCUCGUAGGCGGUUCGGUAAGUCAGGUGUGAAAACUUUGGGCUCAACCCAAAGCCUGCAUCUGAUACUGCUGUGACUAGAGUUCGGUAGGGGAGCGGGGAAUUCCUAGUGUAGCGGUGAAAUGCGCAGAUAUUAGGAGGAACACCGGUGGCGAAGGCGCCGCUCUGGGCCGAAACUGACGCUGAGGAGCGAAAGCGUGGGUAGCAAACAGGAUUAGAUACCCUGGUAGUCCACGCCGUAAACGUUGGGCACUAGGUGUGGGUUUCAACCAACGAAAUCCGCGCCGUCGCUAACGCAUUAAGUGCCCCGCCUGGGGAGUACGGCCGCAAGGUUAAAACCUCAAAUGAAUUGACGG
Molecule: ribosomal RNA, 565 nt
Filed under: uncultured bacterium
Lineage: Bacteria
Description: bacterial SSU rRNA
Rfam family: Bacterial small subunit ribosomal RNA
Source: RNAcentral